Molecule: ribosomal RNA, 239 nt
Filed under: uncultured bacterium
Lineage: Bacteria
Description: partial 16S ribosomal RNA
Rfam family: Bacterial small subunit ribosomal RNA
Source: RNAcentral
UGAGCAAUCUGCCCUUCUCUUCGGAAUAAGCGUUGGAAACGACGUCUAAUGCCGAAUACGACCUCCUUUCGCAUGAUCGGAGGUGGAAAGCUCCGGCGGAGAAGGAUGAGCUCGCGGCCUAUCAGCUAGUUGGUGUGGGUAAUGGCCCACCAAGGCGACGACGGGUAGCCGGCCUGAGAGGGUGACCGGCCACGACCGGGACUGAGACACGGCCCAGACUCCUACGGGAGGCAGCAGGG